UGUACGCUGCCGGUAGGCCUAACACAUGCAAGUCGAGCGGAAACGAUCCUAGCUUGCUAGGAGGCGUCGAGCGGCGGACGGGUGAGUAAUGCAUAGGAAUCUGCCCGGUAGUGGGGGAUAACUUGAGGAAACUCAAGCUAAUACCGCAUACGCCCUACGGGGGAAAGCAGGGGCUCUUCGGACCUUGCGCUAUCGGAUGAGCUUAUGUCGGAUUAGCUGGUUGGUGAGGUAACGGCUCACCAAGGCGACGAUCCGUAGCUGGUCUGAGAGGAUGAUCAGCCACAUCGGGACUGAGACACGGCCCGAACUCCUACGGGAGGCAGCAGUGGGGAAUAUUGGACAAUGGGGGCAACCCUGAUCCAGCCAUGCCGCGUGUGUGAAGAAGGCCCUCGGGUUGUAAAGCACUUUCAGCGAGGAAGAAUGCUUGUCGGUUAAUACCCGGCAAGGGAGACAUCACUCGCAGAAGAAGCACCGGCUAACUCCGUGCCAGCAGCCGCGGUAAUACGGAGGGUGCGAGCGUUAAUCGGAAUUACUGGGCGUAAAGCGUGCGUAGGCGGCUUGAUAAGCCGGUUGUGAAAGCCCCGGGCUCAACCUGGGAACGGCAUCCGGAACUGUUAGGCUAGAGUGCAGGAGAGGAAGGUAGAAUUCCCGGUGUAGCGGUGAAAUGCGUAGAGAUCGGGAGGAAUACCAGUGGCGAANGCGGCCUUCUGGACUGACACUGACGCUGAGGUACCAAAGCGUGGGUAGCAAACAGGAUUANAUACCCUGGUAGUCCACGCCGUAAACCAUGUCGACUAGCCGUUGGGGUCCUCGA
RNAcentral lists this ribosomal RNA (814 nucleotides) under Halomonas sp. I21.2. RNAcentral describes it as "bacterial SSU rRNA". It matches the Rfam family "Bacterial small subunit ribosomal RNA", at positions 30 to 835 of the family's 1533-position model. Lineage: Bacteria; Pseudomonadati; Pseudomonadota; Gammaproteobacteria; Oceanospirillales; Halomonadaceae. The record is from RNAcentral.